Molecule: long non-coding RNA, 457 nt
Filed under: Homo sapiens (human)
Lineage: Eukaryota; Metazoa; Chordata; Mammalia; Primates; Hominidae
Description: HSALNT0048536
Source: RNAcentral
UUUUAUUCAACUGAAUUUAGUAAGCACUAAAGAUGAUAAAGCACAAUAACCUACUAUUAGCAGUUACUGAACAACUGUUUCUUGAGUUAGGCAUUGUAACAACCACUGGGUGUAUGAAGAUAAUGAAGACAAAGUUGCUGUCACUGGGGUCUCUACAUGCAGAAAGGAAGAUGAGAAAACAAUAAGCAAUGGGAUGGAAUGGAACAUCAUAUCAUAAAGUAAGAGUUCAUCAGCAACUGCUCUCCCCAGGGCCCAGUAAGGGACCCCUGACCCAGUCAUUCAUGAAGAGAAGGAGGCCAUUACGGCAGAAGUAACAGAGGAAAGACAGGCUCAAUUUUCCAACAAGCCAGAUGCCCAUAGAACUGAAGCUUGAGAAACUUCCAUUUGUACAGUGUUCUCCCAACCGCGGGAAGAGAGGUCCGGCCCGCGACGGAGUUCCCAGGAAGAAGGCUGGCUG